UACAGAGGGUGCGAGCGUUAAUCGGAAUUACUGGGCGUAAAGCGUGCGUAGACGGUUAUUUAAGUCGGGUGUGAAAGCCCCGGGCUCAACCUGGGAAUUGCAUUCGAGACUGAAUAGCUAGGGUACGGUAGAGGGAAGCGGAAUUUCCGGUGUAGCGGUGAAAUGCGUAGAUAUCGGAAGGAACACCAGUGGCGAAAGCGGCUUCCUGGUCCAGCACCGACGUUCAGGCACGAAAGCGUGGGGAGCAAACAGG
RNAcentral lists this ribosomal RNA (253 nucleotides) under uncultured bacterium. Its description in RNAcentral is "partial 16S ribosomal RNA". It matches the Rfam family "Bacterial small subunit ribosomal RNA", at positions 524 to 776 of the family's 1533-position model. The record is from RNAcentral.